This 445-nucleotide long non-coding RNA is filed under the name Sinocyclocheilus anshuiensis. RNAcentral describes it as "lncRNA (ENSSANG00000022701.1)". The record is from RNAcentral. Lineage: Eukaryota; Metazoa; Chordata; Actinopteri; Cypriniformes; Cyprinidae.
GUGCUUGACCUUCCUCAACCCUCUCUGAGUUCAAGAUGACUUGGCAAUAAACCUUCAGAUGAGAGGCAUGUGAAAUGGGCCAUAGAAGAAAAUAAUUCUCACAAUCUCUGUGAGUGCAUACGAGGCCGUCACAGACCCUACAGCCAUUACAGAGGUGUGGAGGAAAGUGCCAUCACCCCUAGACUGACCCCAGACCCGCUAGAAGCUUCUUAGAUCAACAUGCUGAUCAGAACAGCUCAAUGUUGAUGGAUGCGAUCACGGAAGAGGGGAUGCUGGGUGUUGGCUGCGUUUCACAGCAUUGUUUUCCAGCUUUGCUCUCUCCGGAUGCCCCCUCCAUCCUCAUAUUUAACCCCACCGCCUUCCUCUCCUCCCCUCCUCCAUCGCUCCAGUGAAAAGUACUUCCUACUUCCCAGCCAAUUGGUAGGGAAGCCGUGCCAACUCCACA